AGUGAACGCUGGCGGUAGGCCUAACACAUGCCAGUCGAACGGCAGCACAGUAAGAGCUUGCUCUUACGGGUGGCGAGUGGCGGACGGGUGAGGAAUACAUCGGAAUCUACUUUUUCGUGGGGGAUAACGUAGGGAAACUUACGCUAAUACCGCAUACGACCUACGGGUGAAAGCAGGGGAUCUUCGGACCUUGCGCGAUUGAAUGAGCCGAUGUCGGAUUAGCUAGUUGGCGGGGUAAAGGCCCACCAAGGCGACGAUCCGUAGCUGGUCUGAGAGGAUGAUCAGCCACACUGGAACUGAGACACGGUCCAGACUCCUACGGGAGGCAGCAGUGGGGAAUAUUGGACAAUGGGCGCAAGCCUGAUCCAGCCAUACCGCGUGGGUGAAGAAGGCCUUCGGGUUGUAAAGCCCUUUUGUUGGGAAAGAAAAGCAGCAGGUUAAUACCCCGCUGUUCUGACGGUACCCAAAGAAUAAGCACCGGCUAACAUCGUG
RNAcentral lists this ribosomal RNA (492 nucleotides) under uncultured bacterium. RNAcentral describes it as "partial 16S ribosomal RNA". It matches the Rfam family "Bacterial small subunit ribosomal RNA", at positions 29 to 507 of the family's 1533-position model. The record is from RNAcentral.